UACCUGGUUGAUCCUGCCAGUAGUCAUAUGCUUGUCUCAGAGAUUAAGCCAUGCAUGUCUAAGUACAGACCUUCAUACGGUGAAACCGCGAAUGGCUCAUUAAAUCAGCUAUUGUUCCUUAGAUCGUACAUACUACAUGGAUAACUGUAGUAAUUCUAGAGCUAAUACAUGCAACUAUGCCCUGACUUUCGGGAACGGGUGCAUUUAUUAGAACAGAACCAAUACGGCUUCGGUCGUUUAUUCUGUGAUGACUCUGGAUAACUUAACUGAUCGCAGUCGGCCUCGAGUCGGCGACGGAUCUUUCAAAUGGCUGCCCUAUCAAUUUUCGAUGGUAGGUGACCUGCCUACCAUGGUAAUAACGGGUAACGGGGAAUCAGGGUUCGAUUCCGGAGAGGGACCUUGAGAAACGGCUACCACAUCCAAGGAAGGCAGCAGGCGCGUAAAUUACUCAAUCCGGCACGGGGAAGUAGUGACCAAAAAUACGGAGACGGGACUCUUUAUGGGCCUCCGACAUCCGAAUGAGUACACUUUAAAUCCUUUAACGAGGAACAACUGGAGGGCAAGUCUGGUGCCAGCAGCCGCGGUAACUCCAGCUCCAGAAGCGUAUAUUAAAGUUGUUGCAGUUAAAAAGCUCGUAGUUGGAUCUGGGUUGCAUGGCUGCACGCUAUGGUUAGUGUUUGGUGCCUUUGUGGUACCUGGGCUGCCUGGUGUCGCGGUCGUGUGAUCUUUCUGCCGUAUCUGUUUUACAGGUGCCGGUUGCUUGCAAUUGGCAUGCUCUUCGAUGCCUUUAACUGGGUGUCGGGAGCAGACGGCACGUUUACUUUGAACAAAUUUGAGUGCUCAAAGCAGGCCGUAGUGCCUGAAAAGUCUUGCAUGGAAUAAUGGAAUAGGACUUCGGUUCUAUUUUGUUGGUUUUCGGAUCCGAAGUAAUGGUUAAGAGGGACAAACGGGGGCAUUGUAUGGCGGCGUUAGAGGUGAAAUUCUUGGAUCGUCGCCAGACAAACUACAGCGAAAGCAUUUGCCAAGGAUGUUUUCAUUGAUCUGGAGCGAAAGUCAGAGGUUCGAAGACGAUCAGAUACCGUCCUAGUUCUGACCAUAAACGAUGCCAACUGACGAUCCGCGGUGUGCUAUCUUUGGCCCGCGGGCAGUCCCCGGGAAACCCUUAAGUCUUUGGGCUCCGGGGGAAGUAUGGUUGCAAAGCUGAAACUUAAAGGAAUUGACGGAAGGGCACCACCAGGAGUGGCAUGCGGCUUAAUUCGACUCAACACGGGAAAACUCACCCGGCCCGGACACUGUGAGGAUUGACAGAUUGAGAGCUCUUUCAUGAUUCGGUGGUUGGUGGUGCAUGGCCGUUCUUAGUUGGUGGAGCGAUUUGUCUGGUUAAUUCCGAUAACGAACGAGACUUUGGCCUGCUAAAUAGUGGACCCGUCCUCUGUGCUUGUCCUGUUUGAGUAUGCUGCGAUCCUCGUGGGUUGUGGCGGCUCUUUGCAGGCUUGUGCGGUGCGGGUGGUCACUUCUUAGAGGGACAAGUAGCGGGACAGCUACACGAAGUUGAGCAAUAACAGGUCUGUGAUGCCCUCAGAUGUCCGGGGCCGCACGUGCGCUACAAUGACGGUUUCAGUGAGUUUGGACCCUGGCCGAAAGGGUUGGGUAAACUGAGCCAUAACGUCGUGACUGGGAUCGGGGCUUGUAAUUGUUCCCCGUGAACGAGGAAUUCCUGGUAAGUGCAAGUCAUAACGUUGCGCUGAUUACGUCCCUGCCCUUUGUACACACGCCCGUCGCUACUACCGAUUGAAUGGUUUAGCAAGGUCAUCGGAUUGGUGCCAUUGGUGGUUUCGUACUGCCUGUUGGUGUCGAGAAGACGACCGAACUUGCAUCAUUUAGAGGAAGUAAAAGUCGUAACAAGGUUUCCGUAGGUGAACCUGCGGAAGGAUCAUUA
This 1939-nucleotide ribosomal RNA is filed under the name Daphnia galeata. Its description in RNAcentral is "SSU rRNA". It matches the Rfam family "Eukaryotic small subunit ribosomal RNA". Lineage: Eukaryota; Metazoa; Arthropoda; Branchiopoda; Diplostraca; Daphniidae. The record is from RNAcentral.